Molecule: long non-coding RNA, 1150 nt
Filed under: Mus spicilegus (steppe mouse)
Lineage: Eukaryota; Metazoa; Chordata; Mammalia; Rodentia; Muridae
Description: lncRNA (ENSMSIG00000029260.1)
Source: RNAcentral
UUUAACCCUCGGAGACUCCACGAUUGUUAAGUUUCAUGGAUCACAUAUGCAGCCCAGCUACACGGUGCUUCACAGUGGAGAGAAGGAACGUUAAUGUGUAAUAACGUAUCAAUGAGUUCUAUGGAGUUCUACAGAGAAAGAUGGAGACUGGCAGCGUGCCCUGUGAAUCAGAUGUUCUGAGACAGUCUUUCUGGGCGAAUGGUGUGAUGAAUCAUUCAAGUACAAACAUGGAGGGAGCACUGUCCUGGCCAAGAAGCCGGAAUAAAAACUGUAACACCAGGGCCCUGCUGAGGUGUACUGGGCUCUGCAGAACAAUGGCGGUCAUGUGAGCCUAUGAAUCUGUGUCACAUGCUCUGGGGCAGGGGAGUUGGGUGAGACCCAUGUGAGCACUGGAGGAAUGAACUGGCUGCUGACGGUGGUGAAACUAACGCCAUCUCCACAGUUCUGUGGAAGAAAGGUUGGAAGCAGUUUGCCAUGGGACUUUGUCAGAGUGUGAGACUGAGUGCCUGAGGUUGCAGAGAUGUUGUAAAGAGGAGGUCUGUCCAGCGGUUCAACCUAGCCCGAAGGAACGAGUCUGCUUUUUCUUGUUCACACAACUAAUAUUGGCCAUCAGUCUAGGUGGCUCACUUGCUUGGAGAGAUACUAAGGAAGACUCUACUUCUGAAGUACAGAUAGACUUCUGGAGAGUGCCUGGAAGUAGUAAAAUGAAUCCAAAAGUUGUGGGCAUAAUCUUGUUAAGGUGCUAUUUCUACUGUGGACAGUGGAAUCUACACAGGAGAAAAGAAUCAAAAGGAAAGUCUGAUCUUUUAUCCUUCCAUGGAGGUCAUUAUUAUACUGUAAAAGGAUCCCAGGUCAUCCUAUCAGCACCAAGGCAGAGGAUCACUGCUGAACUGGAGCCAGGAGUAGGAGCAAGUGACUCAUACAAGAGGAAGACUUGGGUUUACCUGUGAAGCGAACAUCAUUUUUAAUGAAACAACUCAGAGGGAGAUGACUGGACCAGUUUGACUUUCUUGUUGCUGUGGCACAAUGCCUAGCAAGAGCUACUUACAAAGCAGCACCGUUUAUUCUGACUCCCAUUUCAAAAGUUACAGGUUCAUGGCCAGUGGUGAGGCAGAGUAUCACAGUGGUUGCAUAUGGUGGGAUGGAAGGA